ACAUCGGUGGUUCAGUGGUAGAAUUCUCGCCUGCCACGCGGGUGGCCCGGGUUCGAUUCCCGGCCGAUGCA
This 71-nucleotide transfer RNA is filed under the name Cordylochernes scorpioides. Its description in RNAcentral is "tRNA-Gly". It matches the Rfam family "tRNA". From Rfam's summary of the family: Transfer RNA (tRNA) molecules are approximately 80 nucleotides in length. The record is from RNAcentral. Lineage: Eukaryota; Metazoa; Arthropoda; Arachnida; Pseudoscorpiones; Chernetidae.